UACAGAGGGCGCGAGCGUUUGUCCGGAUUUACUGGGCGUAAAGCGCGCGUAGGCGGAUCGCUAAGUCAGGGGUGAAAUCCCAGGGCUCAACCCUGGAACUGCCUUUGAUACUGACGAUCUGGAGAUCGGGAGAGGUUGGUGGAAUUCCGAGUGUAGAGGUGAAAUUCGUAGAUAUUCGGAGGAACACCAGAAGCGAAGGCGGCCAACUGGCCCGAUACUGACGCUGAGGCGCGAAAGCGUGGGGGGACGAAACAGG
This 256-nucleotide ribosomal RNA is filed under the name uncultured bacterium. RNAcentral's name for it is "partial 16S ribosomal RNA". It matches the Rfam family "Bacterial small subunit ribosomal RNA", at positions 524 to 776 of the family's 1533-position model. The record is from RNAcentral.